AGCCAGGUCUCCAGAUCGGGUGAUGUGCUGCUAGCCUCCGAAGGCCGGGCGCGAGGCUGCGCUCAGAGAGGCAUGACAUGGUCCGGUGUGACGGCGAGGACAGACGUGAUGCCGUCCGGCCUUCCUGACCAUUCUAGGCUGGCGCCGCGGGGACCCGGAACACCCAAGGGCUCGUUCCUCUGCGCUCCUGAAGGAGCCGACACAUGACUGCUGCUCUCUGGACCCCUAGAACCCUCAAAACGACAAGAAAUGGUGCUACCCAGCUCACGCCUGGGCCUUGGAACUGGGACUUCUUCAAGUCCCCUCUAGCUCUGACUCAAGAAUAUGCUGCAUUCUGGAACCACUACACUCCUUGACUCAGGAAUCGGCUCUGGAAGGUCAAGCUACAGGAACGAGACCAGCCCGACAGCAAGACCGUCGGAAGCGAGCAGCACCCGCGGCGGCCGCCACCCCGCCUGGCGCCUCCGUCUCCGUGGCCACCCUGCCGUGGACAGGCGACCACCAACCAGCCUCCACGCCCCCACGCCCCUCACCCUCCUUCUCUUCUUCCUUUCCUCUGUGCUUUCAUUUCCUUUCUUUCCUUUCCCCUUUGCUCGGGACUCAAAGCCACCGUGACUCCGUUUCCCCGUCCCUCCCGAAUUCAAUUUGCACUAAGUCGUUUGCACUGGUUUGGAGUUCUGGGUCUGGCCUCGAGUCCCCGAGCGCGUGUGCAAGCAAGCUGCUGAGUGCCCGCACCGUGCCCAGCGCCCACCUGCCGUCCAUCUCUGCCUGGGGGUGCCUGGGCGCGGCCGAGUGUGUGGGGCCCCACCCUCCCCUUGCCUAGUCUGGGAGCUCCAAACACCGAGCAAACCUUGAAGCAUUCCGUUGUAGAGCAAGCUCGCUCUGUGCCCCUCCCCACCAGGGUUUCACCAGAAGCCCUGGACUCAUCAAUAAACUCAGUUACAGCAA
Long non-coding RNA from Leopardus geoffroyi (Geoffroy's cat), 948 nucleotides. RefSeq lists it as uncharacterized. Lineage: Eukaryota; Metazoa; Chordata; Mammalia; Carnivora; Felidae. The transcript has 4 exons. The record is from RefSeq and is a predicted model, not a curated record.